Hydractinia symbiolongicarpus is the source of this 1434-nucleotide long non-coding RNA. RefSeq lists it as uncharacterized. The record is from RefSeq and is a predicted model, not a curated record. Lineage: Eukaryota; Metazoa; Cnidaria; Hydrozoa; Anthoathecata; Hydractiniidae. The transcript is spliced from 2 exons.
GACAGGUUGCAUUGUUUUUAGUUUGACCUUUCCUUUAAUUAUGCUCUUUUUACUGAAUUACGCAAGCCGCAAUGAGUCUUGGUUUACUAAUUCUUCGUCUCUUUACCCCAAAAAAACGUCGAAUAGUUUCAAACCUCAUUGUGACCUGUAUGUUUUACACAAGAUGGAUUACACAAGUCAGUAUCUACCGUUCCUUUCUACUUGUGGCUACUUUACAUAACACCUUUAAUGCGCAUGACUAAAUGUAGUUUUGUUUGUCUCGAUAUCUCUUGUUUCACUAUACAGGUUUUAAUAAAACAUCUCGAGAAACCGCAAUAUUUAAUUGAGACACUUAAACGAUCACAAGUUUUGACACAUAGAAAAAUGUUAAACUAGCCAAGAGACUGUCAGUAUAAGCUAUCGUCGAAAUGGAAAGCCUAAAUUCACUCGAGACAGAGUAGUUGAUACUAGAAACACGCUAUACAUAUGCAAGUUAUCCUACUUAAAAAGCCUUUCAAGAGGAAGCUCUCCCAACACUAAACUUAAUCAAGAAAAGCGUCCCUGAAAAGCCUACUAGUGCUAGAUACUGUGCUGCUAUUGAAAACGAACAGGGUUACUAAUACCAAGACUAUAAGGAGGUUAUAAAGAAAUUAAAAUCUCCUAAAGCUGCCAGUUAGAGUUGGAGUAUAAGAGUCAAGAAUUAAUUCUUAAAAAAUUUCAUAUAUAUGUAUAUUAACCUCCUACAGUUUAAAAGUCGUGUUAAAUACGUGUAUUUGAUUGGAUUUUAACUGAUACAUAAGAUAUUUAUAUAUAAAUAAACAUUCGAUCAGUUUGACAUGUGACCUCGAUAGUGUGUGAUAAACGAUGUCAAAAAGUAUACCUUGUGCCAAAGUUUAAAAAAUUUUGAGGUCAAGGCAUGUGCUUGUAAAAAAGUAUAUUCCUUACAAGACAGUUGUUAAACUUCAAGAUGAGGAUGAUAUGGAUAUAAGUGAAAAGGAAAGUUAGAUAACAAUAAUGGUGAGACUCAAAUUACGUACACAAGUAGUGAUGAUUGUGUUGUUUCGUUGAAGGAUGGAAAUGGGUGUGCUUGUAAGGAAUGUUUGGAUUGCAUGCAAGGUCUCCUGUUGAACUAAUCAGAUUUGAUGAUAAAGAAGAAGGCUCAGUGUGUUGGUAUUUUCAUCUUAAAAAUUGAUGAACUAUAUCACUGAAAGCAAAAACAAAAUAAUUUAAAGAAUUUGGUGUUAUCCUUUGAUGAGAUGAAAAUGCAAUCGCUGACGCAAAAACUCGCCAAAAAUUCUAAAAAAUGAGGAACUAGGUGAGCCAUUAAUUGCUCCCCCAAUUUCACCAAAUUUUUGUCUGACUGAACAAUAUCAAUUCAUCUCACAUGAAAAUCAAUGAUAUCCUUCUUUUAUUUGUAGUAAAGAAUAACUAAAAUAUAUUAUAUCUAUAUUAUAA